This 68-nucleotide transfer RNA is filed under the name Ovis aries (sheep). It matches the Rfam family "tRNA". From Rfam's summary of the family: Transfer RNA (tRNA) molecules are approximately 80 nucleotides in length. Their secondary structure includes four short double-helical elements and three loops (D, anti-codon, and T loops). Lineage: Eukaryota; Metazoa; Chordata; Mammalia; Artiodactyla; Bovidae. The record is from Rfam by way of RNAcentral.
CCUGUGGCUCAGAAGGUAAAGCAUCUGCCUGCAAUAUAGGAGGCCCAGGUUCGAUCCCUGGGUCAGGA